CGGCGGACGGGUGAGUAACGCGUGGGUAACCUGCCUCAUACAGGGGGAUAACAGUUAGAAAUGACUGCUAAUACCGUAUAAGCGCACAGGACCGCAUGGUCAAGUGUGAAAAACUCCGGUGGUAUGAGAUGGACCCGCGUCUGAUUAGCUGGUUGGUGAGGUAACGGCCCACCAAGGCGACGAUCAGUAGCCGACCUGAGAGGGUGGCCGGCCACAUUGGGACUGAGACACGGCCCAAACUCCUACGGGAGGCAGCAG
Molecule: ribosomal RNA, 258 nt
Filed under: uncultured bacterium
Lineage: Bacteria
Description: partial 16S ribosomal RNA
Rfam family: Bacterial small subunit ribosomal RNA
Source: RNAcentral